CUCCUUUGGAGCUGCAGCUGGAGGAGUGGAGAUGCCCACAGAAGGCAAUUCAGAAAUCAAGGCAUGGGCCCUCUGCUCCAUCUGUGUGGUCUGUGCUGUGUGGUGCAGAGAAUGGGGGCAUCCAGCAGCAGUGUGGAUUGAGUAGUGCUUCACAGAUGGUGGUGAUCUCUCCUGGGGGCUUUGCAGAACGAAAAAUGCCCAUUACACAUGGAAAAGAGGCGUUGAAGAGGAAAAGCA
This 237-nucleotide long non-coding RNA is filed under the name Gallus gallus (chicken). Lineage: Eukaryota; Metazoa; Chordata; Aves; Galliformes; Phasianidae. The record is from RNAcentral.